Molecule: ribosomal RNA, 376 nt
Filed under: Bombus pauloensis
Lineage: Eukaryota; Metazoa; Arthropoda; Insecta; Hymenoptera; Apidae
Description: partial 16S ribosomal RNA
Rfam family: Archaeal large subunit ribosomal RNA (bases 247-376)
Source: RNAcentral
GAGAUAUAUACUGUCUCAUAUAUAUUUGAUGAAUUUAAAUUUUUAGUAAAAAUGCUUAAAUAAUUUUAUGGGACGAUAAGACCCUAUAGAAUUUUAUAUUAAUAUCUUAUUAAUUAUUUAAUUAAAAUAUUAAUAUUUAAUUGGGAGGAUUAAUAAAUUUAAAAAACUUUAUUUUAAAAAUAAACUUUGAUUUUAGAAUUAAUUUUUGAUCUUUUAUUAUAAAUCAAAAGAAUAAAUUACCUUAGGGAUAACAGCGUAAUAUCUUUUUAAAGAUCAUAUUUAAAAAGAUGUUUGCGACCUCGAUGUUGAAUUAAGAUAAAUUUUAAACGGAGAAGUUUAAUAAUUAAGUCUGUUCGACUUUUAAAAUCUUACAUGA